This 1020-nucleotide ribosomal RNA is filed under the name Staphylococcus aureus. RNAcentral describes it as "bacterial SSU rRNA". It matches the Rfam family "Bacterial small subunit ribosomal RNA", at positions 92 to 1096 of the family's 1533-position model. Lineage: Bacteria; Bacillati; Bacillota; Bacilli; Caryophanales; Staphylococcaceae. The record is from RNAcentral.
UUAGCGGCGGACGGGUGAGUAACACGUGGAUAACCUACCUAUAAGACUGGGAUAACUUCGGGAAACCGGAGCUAAUACCGGAUAAUAUUUUGAACCGCAUGGUUCAAAAGUGAAAGACGGUCUUGCUGUCACUUAUAGAUGGAUCCGCGCUGCAUUAGCUAGUUGGUAAGGUAACGGCUUACCAAGGCAACGAUGCAUAGCCGACCUGAGAGGGUGAUCGGCCACACUGGAACUGAGACACGGUCCAGACUCCUACGGGAGGCAGCAGUAGGGAAUCUUCCGCAAUGGGCGAAAGCCUGACGGAGCAACGCCGCGUGAGUGAUGAAGGUCUUCGGAUCGUAAAACUCUGUUAUUAGGGAAGAACAUAUGUGUAAGUAACUGUGCACAUCUUGACGGUACCUAAUCAGAAAGCCACGGCUAACUACGUGCCAGCAGCCGCGGUAAUACGUAGGUGGCAAGCGUUAUCCGGAAUUAUUGGGCGUAAAGCGCGCGUAGGCGGUUUUUUAAGUCUGAUGUGAAAGCCCACGGCUCAACCGUGGAGGGUCAUUGGAAACUGGAAAACUUGAGUGCAGAAGAGGAAAGUGGAAUUCCAUGUGUAGCGGUGAAAUGCGCAGAGAUAUGGAGGAACACCAGUGGCGAAGGCGACUUUCUGGUCUGUAACUGACGCUGAUGUGCGAAAGCGUGGGGAUCAAACAGGAUUAGAUACCCUGGUAGUCCACGCCGUAAACGAUGAGUGCUAAGUGUUAGGGGGUUUCCGCCCCUUAGUGCUGCAGCUAACGCAUUAAGCACUCCGCCUGGGGAGUACGACCGCAAGGUUGAAACUCAAAGGAAUUGACGGGGACCCGCACAAGCGGUGGAGCAUGUGGUUUAAUUCGAAGCAACGCGAAGAACCUUACCAAAUCUUGACAUCCUUUGACAACUCUAGAGAUAGAGCCUUCCCCUUCGGGGGACAAAGUGACAGGUGGUGCAUGGUUGUCGUCAGCUCGUGUCGUGAGAUGUUGGGUUAAGUCCCGCAACGAG